Molecule: ribosomal RNA, 440 nt
Filed under: uncultured bacterium
Lineage: Bacteria
Description: partial 16S ribosomal RNA
Rfam family: Bacterial small subunit ribosomal RNA
Source: RNAcentral
CCUACGGGGUGCAGCAGUGGGGAAUAUUGCACAAUGGGGGAAACCCUGAUGCAGCGACGUCGCGUGAGUGAAGAAGUAUCUCGGUAUGUAAAGCUCUGUCAGCAGGGAAGAAAAUGACGGUACCUGACCAAGAAGCCCCGGCUAACUACGUGCCAGCAGCCGCGGUAAUACGUAGGGGGCAAGCGUUAUCCGGAUUUACUGGGUGUAAAGGGAGCGUAGACGGCAGGGCAAGUCUGGAGUGAAAGGCGGGGGCUCAACCCCCGGACUGCUCUGGAAACUGCCAGGCUGGAGUGCAGGAGAGGUAAGUGGAAUUCCUAGUGUAGCGGUGAAAUGCGUAGAUAUUAGGAGGAACACCGGUGGCGAAGGCGGCUUACUGGACUGUAACUGACGUUGAGGCUCGAAAGCGUGGGGAGCGAACAGGAUUAGAUACCCCUGUAGUC